UGUCUUUUAAAUGAACAAAACUUCAGAUAGUACUAAAGAAAAAGACUCUUGUGGUAUCCAAAAAAUCGGGUGGUGGAGGUACUGCAAAGGCCUGGAAGGGGGAAGCUUAGCCUUGACAGCAACGGAGCUGUACGCCAGGACCAAGCAAAAGUCUCACCAUGGAAAAGCUGACACUUUGCCUUAAAAGAAAAUUCCAGGCACAUGUGGCAAUUGGGUUUCUGUUUUAUGGGAAUGUGUUAGAAAAGAGCACUGAAGUUGCCAGGACUGGAUCAUCUGCUUUGGAACCAAGUCUUCUGCUGAACACAGAAAGGAAAUCAGUGAAGACAUUUUUUUCCAGAAGUAAGAUAAAGGGAAAGACUACAAUUUGAUAGAUUCACUGGCCACAUUCAAGAGAAACAUGAGAUUUAGCCCCCUGAGACACAUUGUAAUUAAACUAGAGAACUUGAUCAAUAGAGAUG
RNAcentral lists this long non-coding RNA (458 nucleotides) under Monodelphis domestica (gray short-tailed opossum). RNAcentral describes it as "lncRNA (ENSMODG00000030927.2)". Lineage: Eukaryota; Metazoa; Chordata; Mammalia; Didelphimorphia; Didelphidae. The record is from RNAcentral.